GCUGUCUCUGUCGCGCAGUGGACGGCCAGCCAUCACAUCAGUAGCUCGCGCGGCGGCCCCUUUCUCGUCGUCGCUGCAGCAGUGUGUAAGAGACUCGCUCUCUCGGCGCGACGCGGAUUCCCUCUGGUCGCCACCGCACGACAGACGGAGAACUAGGUGUCGUGUGGAUAUUCGUGCGCUCGAGAGAGAGAUAUAUAACCAACAUACGCGCGCCUCGAGAGCAAGAACGCGCAUAAAAUAUAUCGCGAGAGAGUACAUCGGAACGCCGUGGCCCACGGAGGAGAGGAGAGGAGAGUGAGCAAGAGAGAGACGGAGAGAGGACGAAGGGAGCGCAGAGAGUGAGAGAGCGACGAGCGCGCGGAGAGCAGCAGCGUUGAGUGCGUGGCAGCGGCGGGCUGCCUACUGCAGGUUCUUCUUCGGCCGACAGAACGGAAAAGCCAGCAGCAAUGUCGAUCAUCGGGAUUGUCAACAAGAACGACUUCAUCGUCGGCGGCAAGUACAGGCUUAUGAGAAAGAUUGGCUCCGGUUCCUUCGGCGACAUCUACCUCGGCAUCAACGUCUCCAAUGGCGAGGAAGUGGCAAUCAAAUUGGAAAACAUGCGCGCUCGCCAUCCGCAGCUACUCUACGAAUCCAAAUUGUACAAGAUAUUACAUGGUGGUGUAGGCAUACCCCACAUACGCUGGUAUGGACAAGAGCGAGAGUAUAACGUUCUCGUAAUGGACCUUUUAGGUCCUUCGCUAGAAGAUUUAUUUACGUUUUGUUCUCGCAAAUUUACAAUCAAGACAGUCCUCAUGCUUGCUGAUCAAAUGAUAGGCAGGAUUGAAUUUGUUCACUGCAAACACUUUAUUCAUAGAGACAUCAAACCAGACAACUUUUUAAUGGGCAUUGGCCGUCACUGUAAUAAGCUGUUCCUCAUCGAUUUUGGACUGGCUAAGAAAUUCCGCGACAGCCGUACCCGAAUGCACAUUACAUACCGCGAGGACAAGAAUCUCACGGGCACAGCGAGGUACGCCUCCAUCAAUGCUCACCUCGGCAUUGAGCAGAGUCGUCGGGACGACAUGGAGUCUCUCGGUUACGUACUCAUGUAUUUCAAUCGGGGAUCGCUACCCUGGCAAGGCCUUAAAGCCGCGACAAAGAAACAGAAAUACGAAAAAAUUAGCGAAAAGAAAAUGGCCACACCCGUCGAGGUUCUGUGUAAGGGCUUCCCAGCUGAAUUCUCCAUGUACCUAAAUUAUUGCCGAGGCUUGCGCUUUGAGGAGGGCCCGGAUUACAUGUACCUGCGCCAGUUAUUCCGCAUCCUCUUCCGCACGCUGAACUACCAAUACGACUACACGUUCGACUGGACGAUGCUCAAGCAGAAGGUCGCAGUCAGCAUCAACAACGGCCUGGCAACGACGCCUGGCCCAGGACAGUCGCAGCUUGCGCAGGGCCAGGGAGCCGGCCAAGGCCAGGCAACGGCCCCAGCUGCUCAAUCAGUGCGACUUGUACCAUCAACGCUUGGCAAGAGGAUAAAUGAUUGGAUGGAAUCGGCAGGUUCUUUCGUGAGAUAAUCAGGAAAAAAAACACUUAGCACUGUCGUAAACGGUCUUCCCUUAAUAUUUCUUUUUACAAUUUUAAGAAAAACCUUCACUUUUGUUUAAGCUAAAAUAUAUGGGAUAUCCGAGACAUUAUAAAAUUAUUUAACUUUGAUUUUAGAUAAAGAGAGUAACGUUUAUUUCAUUGUGAGCAUUUUUAAGAACGAUUUAUUCAUAUAAAUUUAUACUACAUAUGUUUUUUUGUACAUGCCUUCAUAAAAGACUCUAAUUGUGCGCAGUACUCGAACAUAUAAAAAUGUGAUAUAGAGUAAGUUGCAUUAUACUUAAAAGACAAUUAUAUUACUUGGACCUUGUAAAAAAUUAGUAAAUUUAUCGAUAAAAAAUCACCUUAACACGGACUUACGUCUUGUAUACCAUUGAGUGCAUUUUUAUGAUCCUUCGCUUCUUUUUGAUUUGGUUUUGUAACUAAUUUAUCAUAACUUAAAUUUAAUUACAAUGUCAUUAUCAAACGGAAGUGCAUUCUUGUUCCAAGUAUGAACUGAUGCAACAUGUACAGAAAUAAAGUCAUGUUUAUACAUAUCAACUCUUUUUUUUAACCUAGAAAAAAAGUCUUAUUGUAAGGAUAAGAUCAGAGCUGGUAAAAAAAUCGAAGUAUUUUAAUAAAAAUUAUUCUUAUUAUAAUAAUUAACGGAAACAUGAAUUUCGUAUCCCUAAUAAAACUUUUGGAUAUUGCAAAAUUUACUAAAAUUUUAACUAUUCAUCAAAGUAGAAUAGAAUAAAAUCGAAUUUCAAAAAAAUUAGAUUAACAUGUAUAAAAUGUUAAUAAUAAAAUAGUUAGAUAUUUAAAUAAUAUUAAUAUAUUAAAUUGUACAUAAAAAACAAAAUAAUUAAAGAAAAAUUAAUCUUAUCAUAUUUUAAUGUACAACAUACUCCUCAUAAUAGAGUUUGCUUUUAAAUUUUGAUUCGCCUAUUGUAAAAGUAUAAACUGAAAAUUAAGUAUCUCUCCAAAAUUAAUAUAAACUAUAUAAAUAAGUUAGUUAUGGGCUCUACGAAGUAUAUUUAUAGUUUUUAAAUUAUUAAUUUCAACGGGCCUAAAUUAAAAGCAAAGCAAAUCUGUAGGUUCACUUCAGAAAUUUUACGAAAGUCGCUAAUGUUUUGUAACUAAGAAUUCAAGUGAGAAAAAUUGAUCAUUGUGCAACUGCAACAUGGAUUAUACAAUCAACUUGAAGUUUUACAAGUAUACUUUAAGUAUACAAAAUAUCAGCGAACGCGUUAAAAAGUAAACUCUCCUGUUUCGUGAUAGCGCUAAACCUGAGAGAGACGAAAAGAAAGAGUGCGAGAAAACGAGUAUCAAAAAUCCAGCUCAUGCUCUGAGAAUCGAAAAUGCGGCGACGUUGGCCUGAACAACGGUCGAAUUCAUACGGCCUCUUUGUAAGAUCCUUAUUGUUAUCGCAUCGUCCGCCAGAAAUACGAAGAGGGACUGUCAAAAAAAGAAGUGUGUGUGUGUGUGUCUAUAUAUAUAUACACAUAUACACACACAUAUAACAAAAAAGUAAACUGAGCGUUGCGUGCUAAGACUUAAUCGUGUGUCUUGCUCGGUCAGCACGGUACUUCGCGUCUAAAUGAAAAAAAAAACAACAAAGUCAAAUAUAAAGAUAGCUUGUUUCUCAUUUACCUUUUGUUACAUUGACUAUUUAAUUACAUCGUUAACGUAUCAUCAUUUAAGCUUAAGUUCGAACGUUCCCGGAUGUCUAAAGAAAACAAAAUAAUAAAAAAAAGUCUUUGUCAAUGGCAUAGAUAAUUAUCUCACAAAUAAAGAAAACAAACACCGUAUUUCAUCGGACUCCAUUUUGCCAAGUGAUUUACGAUUUAGAGUAUAUUGAAAUACGAAUAUAUAAAUGAGUAUAUAUACCUAAUUUUCAUAGAAAGAAAGAGAGACGUUUAGAAUAUUCGCGUUUGCGCGUCGACAUAAUCCAGAAAAAAUUAUAUAUUAGGUUAUUACAAAAGUUCUGUUGCAUUUUCAAUGCAGCUCUUCGGUAAUACUAUAAAUGAAAACUGUUUGUAAUAUGUUAAUAGUGUUUACUAUUCGAGCAUUUAUCAAUGCCCGAACGUGUAAAAUAUAGAAAUUAGGACCGAGAAGGAGAAUUCUACAAAUGUUACUUUUCACGCACUGAUGUAUUAUGUUUUCGAGAGUUAGAUAGCUAGAGGAAGUGUCAAAUCAGUCCGUUUUUUUAUGUUUAUCUUAAAUUUUACCGGUAUUUUAUUUGCGCCUAAAGCUUCACAUUAAAAAAAACGACAGAAGUUCUGCAAAGACUUAAUAAAUAACACUUUUGUAUUUACUCUAUCAAUCCGAUACCCGAAAAUGAGAAGAAAAACAGAACGAUGGAGUGAGUGCGUAAUUGUAUUGAAGGUUCGUGAAGUCUUGUAUUCGCCCUUUGAUAUAGUACAUAAACGUAGUGCCGCAACAAGGAAAGGACGGAAGAGCAAAAGAAAUGAUUUGUUAGCCGAUACAAAAGAAGCUGAAAGCGUAUAAUAAAUGCAAGCUUUGUAACGGCGAGAGUGCGUUUAUCUUCUGAGUGUGAGACGACCGUUGACUCAAUUUUAUAGAGUCCAAUCACUUUUUUUGGAAAAAUAUACGUGAGUGACUUGGUAUACUUUAAAUGAAAAGAAAAACGCUGUUAAUAUUGACAUAGGAUUAAUUUUUAAUUGUAUAGAAGAGAAAGUAAAACAAAAAGAAACUAAAAGAAUAUCGACAGUCGCAUACGUCCUUGAUUUAUUAAUUUAUCUCUAUCACUGUCUCUCUUUCUCUUUAUUUUAUUGUCUAAAAGCAAAACUAACACAAGGAAUUCAUUUUUUUCUUUAAAUAAAUGCUUUGAUUUUAUGUAUUGAGUUGUGAUUUUUUAACGUAUCCCGUUAUGUUCGACUUGUUAAAGGCGUAGCAAUUAUUUGAAUCGGCAUAUUUAAUAAUCAUUAAUCAUUUGUCAUAGAAUAAAUGGUUUUAGAUGAUAAAUGCGUCGUCGAGAAUCUGUAGGCGUAAUGUAAAUUUCGAAACACUGAAAGUUUAAAAAAGUAUAACGUAAAUUGUCUGUGAAAUUGAAAAUUCAUUUUUUGUGAUAGUCUUGCUUGCAGUCUUUAUUAUGAUUAUAGCGCAAUGCUUACACGUAAAAAAUGACGUUUCGAGUAGCGUAACCGACUAAUUGUUUACAAGUGUGUCGAUGUUAGGCACCAACGUCAUGAAAUGUAUCAGAAGAUAAAAAAGUCACUAAAAUGCCGUAAGUUUAUCGCUUACGACUCUUACUCUCUGUGCCUGUACUUCGUUUUCGUUUCUUUUUCAAUCAGAUGAUUUAUAAGUUUAAAAUGUUUUUUUGUGUUUUGGAAAAUGAGAGAAUAUAAGCUAGAGAAAAUUACAAUGGUUCUGUUCUAAUACAAAGUAGAGAAGUCUUUAUUUUCAAGAAUCAGAGGAAAUUCUAUCGGAACUAGUUUUAUUAAGUAUAAGGGUUAAAUAAAAAAAAAAUUGUAUCAGAUGUUUUUGAGAGGUGUUUUUUGAAAAUAAAGAUAUCUCUUUCUCUUGUAAAUUUAGUAAUUCAUACUCCUUUUAACUCUAUUGUCGUUGGUGUCAUGUAUACUGUAAAAAAGAAAAUUAAAUGUAUGGUGUAAGUCGUCGCAAAAGAAUUUUCGGCCCGCAAAAUACGAUAAUUCUGGCACUGGCAUCAAAGCAAAUUCGGAGAUGGAUAAAGAUUCAUUACUUAUUGCAAUGUAAUUUCAAUGCAGGAGGAAACUGCAAUUUGUUGAUGAAAAAAAUAAGAUGAUGUCAUAUGCUGCCACUGUAACUAUUAAAACAUUAUAUUUUGUACACAUGUAAACUCAUAAAAGCUCACACUGAUUAUAUACUUUAAGUUUUUUUAAAAAUUCAGUAAAAUUGAGAAAAGUCUGCAAAACGCGCAUUAUUUUCAGUUUUGAUUCCUUUUCUAAGAUAAAAGAGGGAACAAGUUAUAUGGAAUUGUGUUUCAAAUACGGUAUGAUGUGAUUGCACAUGGAAUACAUAUGUUAUGAGUGAUCAUAUAUACAAAUGUAAAGAUGUACUAAAAUUAACUAAAUUUGUAUCGAUUUUUUUUUUUUAAAUCGCUUUUGGAUGUAACAAUGUAGAACACGUUUUCAUAUAACUGCUUUCUUCAAAGAAUUAGCAAGAAAAAUUUACACACUUACAUAUAUUUUUAGUUACAUGAAAUUUUACUUGAGUUGAUAAAAGUCUGCAAAGAAGCGUGUAUUUUGAUUUUUAGCUUCAUGUUUUAUCGAUCAUUAAUUGAUAACACGUCGUACGUGAUGUUCGUUUUUUUUUCAUACUCGUUAAGAUUGCAUACACGUCCAUAAAAUGCGCUCUAAGUUCUUGCAAGCGUCAGAUCCAACAUAGCCAGCGUUGAUCUGUCAUCGAGGCUGCAAAGGAAAUCGAAUGAUAAUCUGCAGAGGAUGAUAAAUAAUAGACAACAGCCUCGAUCAAAACUCAUAAUCACAUUACUUAGAGAAAUGUUAUUAUAUGAAGGGAGAAGAAAAAUGAUAAAAUGAUAUAAAAAAAAACAAAUUUCUAAACUUGUAAAAUGAUUGUGAGAGAAUGGGAGAAUAAUAACCAUGCUUCAGUAUGCUUGGUUAACAAUUAUUAUUAAAUGAAAAUAAAAAUAGUGUGAGUAAGGAUGAAGAUGAAUGAGAAUGUGCUAAGUGAAUGCGUUUGUGGGUGGCGUGAUAAGUUAAUUAUUACUGAAUUAUUAAUUACACAUGCACAUGAAUACUAUCCAGUAUAUAUUAUAUUAUGAAAAUGUGACAGUAAUUAAGAACAUGCGUUAUUUCAUAAAUACUGAAAACUACGUCAAAGGUUUAUUGCUCCCUUUGUCUCUAUAAAUAAAAAAAAUCAACAUUGUACAAA
This is an RNA transcript of Nasonia vitripennis (jewel wasp), 6453 nucleotides long. It is a transcript of the gene named casein kinase 1 alpha 1-like protein, with no coding region annotated. The record is from RefSeq and is marked validated. Lineage: Eukaryota; Metazoa; Arthropoda; Insecta; Hymenoptera; Pteromalidae. The transcript has 8 exons.